RNAcentral lists this ribosomal RNA (714 nucleotides) under uncultured bacterium. RNAcentral describes it as "bacterial SSU rRNA". It matches the Rfam family "Bacterial small subunit ribosomal RNA", at positions 111 to 823 of the family's 1533-position model. The record is from RNAcentral.
UAACACGUAUCCAACCUGCCGUCUACUCUUGGACAGCCUUCUGAAAGGAAGAUUAAUACAAGAUGGCAUCAUGAGUCCGCAUGUUCACAUGAUUAAAGGUAUUCCGGUAGACGAUGGGGAUGCGUUCCAUUAGAUAGUAGGCGGGGUAACGGCCCACCUAGUCUUCGAUGGAUAGGGGUUCUGAGAGGAAGGUCCCCCACAUUGGAACUGAGACACGGUCCAAACUCCUACGGGAGGCAGCAGUGAGGAAUAUUGGUCAAUGGGCGAGAGCCUGAACCAGCCAAGUAGCGUGAAGGAUGACUGCCCUAUGGGUUGUAAACUUCUUUUAUAAAGGAAUAAAGUCGGGUAUGGAUACCCGUUUGCAUGUACUUUAUGAAUAAGGAUCGGCUAACUCCGUGCCAGCAGCCGCGGUAAUACGGAGGAUCCGAGCGUUAUCCGGAUUUAUUGGGUUUAAAGGGAGCGUAGAUGGAUGUUUAAGUCAGUUGUGAAAGUUUGCGGCUCAACCGUAAAAUUGCAGUUGAUACUGGAUAUCUUGAGUGCAGUUGAGGCAGGCGGAAUUCGUGGUGUAGCGGUGAAAUGCUUAGAUAUCACGAAGAACUCCGAUUGCGAAGGCAGCCUGCUAAGCUGCAACUGACAUUGAGGCUCGAAAGUGUGGGUAUCAAACAGGAUUAGAUACCCUGGUGGUCCACACGGUAAACGAUGAAUACUCGCUGU